Molecule: ribosomal RNA, 254 nt
Filed under: uncultured bacterium
Lineage: Bacteria
Description: partial 16S ribosomal RNA
Rfam family: Bacterial small subunit ribosomal RNA
Source: RNAcentral
UACGUAGGGGGCGAGCGUUAUCCAGAUUUACUGGGCGUAAAGCGCGUGUAGGCGGCUGGUUAGGUGUGAUGUGAAAUCUUCGGGCUCAACCCGAAAACUGCAUUGCAAACCGGCCUGGCUAGAGUGCAGGAGAGGGAAGCGGAAUUCCAGGUGUAGCGGUGAAAUGCGUAGAUAUCUGGAGGAACACCGGUGGCGAAGGCGGCAUCCUGGACCGGCAUUGACGCUGAGGCGCGAAAGCCAGGGGAGCAAACGGG